RNAcentral lists this long non-coding RNA (1143 nucleotides) under Homo sapiens (human). Its description in RNAcentral is "HSALNT0334093". Lineage: Eukaryota; Metazoa; Chordata; Mammalia; Primates; Hominidae. The record is from RNAcentral.
ACUUCGUUCCGCGCCUCAAAGGCGGAGUGCGGGGCUGUGGGAGAAAACGAGAGCCUCGGGCUGUCGCCCGGCGACGGGCGGCUGAGGCCUUCGUAUUCUUAGAACUUUUAGAAUCUGAAGCAAACUUAUCUUCCCCCUGUCUGAAGAAGGGGAGCAGGUUUCUGAGUACUCCGGGGCGCGGUGCCUCCCCCUAAACGCGAAUGGUGCGCUCCAAGCGGGAGGGGGAGGAGCAGAUUAGUUGUGUAGGGUAAAUUGGGCCAGUCCCAGAGUGGCGGCGCAUGCGCCCGUAGAACCCGUAACCGAGUGCGAGGAGGGGCCUGGGGGAGCAAUGCCAAACGCGGAAGUGGAGCUCUGGCUUCCCGGGGGCGUCGGAGUCAAGGUCCCUGGAGCUGCCGCUCUGGCUCCUGGGCGAUUCCGGGGAGCCAUUCUCCCCAAUUUGCCAACUCCCUGGGCAUCUCUCUCUCUCUUCCUGGUCCCGCCACACCCAAACAACUCUUAUAGUUCCACCCGGUAUACUGGUCUCUUGACAGGAACUUUUGGGAAAUGCCCCUCCCCCAGCCCCUUGUCUGGGGCAACUUCCUUGUCUCUUCUCCCCCACCGGUGUUGGGGAGUUCCUUGUCUCCACUCCCAACCACAGAGCCACAAGUACAUUAUCUAUGCCCAGGCGAGUCCCUAUGCCCAGGCUAGGAGAGCCGCACUUCUUCCUACAGCUGACACGUUUGGUUUUUGGAGGGGAAAGGGGAGCUGUAGCUGAAUCAGUAAUGGAAAUUGAUGAACCUGUGAUGUGACUCCUGGGAGUAGUUUGCAAUCACCAUUGGCCCAAAAGGAGCCAUCUACGUGCUCAGUGGGGUCUAGUAAAGGAUAAUAUUAAUUCUUCAGCAGCCAGAGCUUUUGAAGUAGGAACUGAGGGUGUAUAGAAAAGAGCCUGGUAUGAUUCAAGGUCAGGAGCAAACAAUGGCUGCCUUCUUGGUAAGAAUUCAAAAGACCUACUUAGCCCUGGAAGACUUUACCAAAAAGAAGGGACUUGUAGAGACCUGAGAGAAAGCAGAUGAUCCUCCACUCUAAUUCUAAUCCCUACCCUUGAAACUCACUCUCAGUUCAAAACUUGUCAUCAUUAUAAUCCAUCCUAACCUAGUAUUAGCC